GUGGGGAAUCUUCCGCAAUGGACGAAAGUCUGACGGAGCAACGCCGCGUGAGUGAUGACGGCCUUCGGGUUGUAAAGCUCUGUGAUCGGGGACGAAUGGCUGGUAUGCUAAUACCAUAUCAGAGUGACGGUACCCGAAUAGCAAGCCACGGCUAACUACGUGCCAGCAGCCGCGGUAAUACGUAGGUGGCCAGCGUUGUCCGGAAUUAUUGUGCGUAAAGCGCGCGCAGGCGGCUUCUUAAGUCCAUCUUAAAAGUGCGGGGCUUAACCCCGUGAUGGGAUGGAAACUGGGAGGCUGGAGUAUCGGAGAGGAAAGUGGAAUUCCUAGUGUAGCGGUGAAAUGCGUAGAGAUUAGGAAGAACACCGGUGGCGAAGGCGACUUUCUGGACGACAACUGACGCUGAGGCGCGAAAGCGUGGGGAGCAAACAGGAUUAGAAACCCGUGUAGUCC
RNAcentral lists this ribosomal RNA (450 nucleotides) under uncultured bacterium. Its description in RNAcentral is "partial 16S ribosomal RNA". It matches the Rfam family "Bacterial small subunit ribosomal RNA", at positions 354 to 796 of the family's 1533-position model. The record is from RNAcentral.